AUGGCUUCUUCGUCCGGCGUCGGCCUCAACCUCGGAUCGCCGCCAUCUGAGAAGCUAGCAAGAGGAAACUUCAUCCUCUGGAAGACCCAGGUGCUCGCAGCCCUGCGAGGUGCGCAGGUAACCGGGCUCCUGGACAACUCUGACGCCGCUCCACCCAAGACUGUGGAGAUCACGAAGGCGGACAAGACGACGGCCCUCAAGCCGAACCCUCUGUACGGGCCCUGGAUCGCCAAAGACCAGCAGGUCCUGUCAUAUCUUCUCAACUCCAUGUCUCCAGAAAUCCUUGCGCAAGUCGUCGGGAAGGACUCCACCUAUGAGCUCUGGACGACGGUGAACAAUCUCUUCGCCUCGCAAUCACAGUCCCGGAUCACCAAUCUAAGGAUCGCGAUCACCAAUACCAAGAAGGGCACAAUGUCGAGCUCGGCGUAUAUGGCGAAGAUGAAAAGCCUUGGGGAUGAACUAGCUGCCGCUGGUCGUCCCGUCUCUGAUCCGGAGAUGGUGGACUACAUACUCGCAGGACUCGACCGCGACUACGACUCUGUGGUGGCGGCGAUCGGCGCUGUCAAGAACACAAUCACCGCCGAUGACCUCUUCGCUCAGAUCUCCGCCUUUGAUCAGAGGAUGGAGAUGCUGGGAGACUCGUCUUCAGGCGGGUUUCAUUCAUCUGCCAACGCCGUCUACAGAGGCCGCGGCCAGUCCCGUGGUAGAUCCCGUGGGCGAGGAGGAAGAGGGCGCGGCCGCGGUGACCGCGGUGACCGCGGUGACCGCCAGCCUUCUCCUGCAAAUAGAGGCGGCGGAUUCAGAGGACGCCCUCGACAGCAACAGCAACAGCAGGUACGCGAGCAGCAGCAUGACUAUCCUGAGUGCCAGAUAUGCUAUAGACAUCAUCCAGGAGGUGCACGUGUCUGCUGGUGGCGCUAUGAAGAGAAUGAUCAAGAAGAGAAGGAGGCGCAUGCUGUCUCCUAUGGCGUGGACACUAAUUGGUACGCAGACAGUGCAGCAACAAAUCACAUCACAGGUGAACUUGACAAGCUGACAGUACGGGAGAAGUACAACGGAGGCGACCAAAUUCGCACGGCAAGCGGUUCUGGUAUGAAUAUCACCCACAUUGGUAGUUCAAUUGUUCAAAACCCCAUGAAAAAUUUGCACCUUAAAGAUGUCUUGCAUGUUCCUCAAACUUCCAAAAAUCUUGUUUCUGUUCAUCGAUUCACCCUUGAUAAUAAUGUUCUUAUAGAAUUCUAUCCUCACUUUUUCUUGGUUAAGGAUUUGAGCACAAGGAGAAUCAUUCUUAGAGGACGGUGCGUGGGAGGCCUCUAUCCACUCAUAUCAUCAUCAUCAUCUUCAUGGUCCAAUAAACAAGCAAAUAUUGUCACCAAGCCAUCAUCAUCAAGGUGGCAUAGUCGAUUAGGUCAUCCAUCUUCAGUCAUAGUUAAAUAUGUUCUUAGCAAAAAUAAACUCUCUUAUGAGAAUAGUGUUGAGUCAGUUUGUGAUCCGUGUCAACAAGCAAAAAGUCAUCAAUUACCCUAUCCCAUCUCUACUAGUGUGUCUACUGCUCCUCUACAACUUAUAUUUUCAGAUGUAUGGGGACCAGCCCCUACUUCAGUUGGGAGAUUUUCUUACUAUGUAAGCUUUAUUGAUGACUAUAGUAAAUUUACUUGGAUUUACUUGUUAAAGAAACGGUCUGAUGUAUUCCAAGUCUUCAUCAAUUUUCAAAACCUUGUUGAACGCAAACUGAACUCCAAGAUCAUUGCUAUGCAAAGUGACUGGGGUGGUGAGUAUGAAAAAUUGAACUCUUUCUUCCAAAAACUUGGUAUUUCACAUCAUGUCUCUUGCCCUCAUGCUCAUCAACAAAACGGAUCUGCUGAAAGAAAGCACCGUCACAUAGUUGAUAUGGGGCUAGCAUUGCUAGCAAAUGCAUCCAUGCCACUCAAAUUCUGGGAUGAAGCAUUCUUAACCGCUACAUAUCUUAUCAAUUUGCUUCCUAGUAAAGUCAUCAAAUUUGAAACACCUAUUACACGACUCCUUGGUGUCACACCCAACUACACAUCUCUUCGUGUUUUCGGUUGUGCAUGUUGGCCCAACCUCAGACCCUAUAACACACGCAAACUCGCUUUUCGCUCCAAAAAGUGUGUCUUCUUAGGCUAUAGUCCCAUGCACAAAGGAGUUAAAUGUCUAGAUGUUCCUACUGGUAGGGUCUACAUAUCCAGAGAUGUAGUUUUUGAUGAGUCAGUGUUCCCUUUUGCUUCCCUUCAUCCCAAUGCUGGUGCACUUCUCCGCAAGGAAAUCCUUCUUCUUCCUCCACAUCUUCGGUCUUUUGAUCAUGGGGGCGACAGUUGUACUAACCAAAGUGAUGAUAUUCCUGCUGGUAUUGGUUCUUCUCUGUUGCCUGUACAGGUCCCUGGUGAAAACGGCGCUCAAAAUGAUCAAAAUUUCGAAAAUCAAGCUCAAGAUCAUCUUAUAUUUCAUGCUGAGGAAGGAGACGAACCUGGCACAGAUGACGAAGCUGAUCCGGCGGCGCCCGCAACUCCUGUUCGUGCGCAGACCUCGAAUCCCGCGGCCAAAUCAGCCUCGGAUCGCGCUCCCACCAACCGCAGCGCUGAUUGA
This 2604-nucleotide ribosomal RNA is filed under the name Triticum aestivum (bread wheat). Its description in RNAcentral is "partial small subunit ribosomal RNA". The record is from RNAcentral. Lineage: Eukaryota; Viridiplantae; Streptophyta; Magnoliopsida; Poales; Poaceae.